UUUUCCAAAAUGAAGAAAAUAAGAAGAAAAAAAAGACAAGAAGACCUGAGAUGUACUGUGAGACAGCCAUAUAUGACAGAAGUUUCCUGCAUGUGAAGUCUUACUAUAACCGGGAGAUGGCACAAGAGAGCCUUCCAACGUUUCACGAUGUCCGCGCCGCACUGUGAGCAAAGUUCAGAAAACUGCUUUAUAUAAGCAGCCAGGAGCCGGCCCGUACAACCCAGCAGCCUUGGCAUUUACUUCUUUCCGGUUCACAACUUUUUCCUUCAGCCCCUUCUCUCUGGUGUCUAUGCUGCGAUGCUGCAGCCCCAGCAACGCGCAAUGCCUGCCUCGGGCUGUCUCGGGAGCAGAGCGCUCAGGCCAGAGAAGAGGAGGCUUAGAAGAUACGUUUAGACAGAGGCUCGUCUGCUUGAAAUGAAAAAAAACCAUCUCUCGAAGACCCGGGUCCUUGCGCGCUCCCCCGGGGUGCAUUCCCCAGUGCCAUUUGAGGCUGCUCAGCACCAUAAAUGCCAUUUGCAUCGGGAUAGGUUGCAACAGGAGCUGUAAAUCACUGACGGUGGAGCGAACACCUCCAGGGGCAGACACGGCGGAGCCGGGCCUCCUCGAGCUGUGGCAAUGUGUGAACGGUAUCUUUUGUUGAGGGGGGGACUGAUGGCAAUUAGAU
This 664-nucleotide long non-coding RNA is filed under the name Phasianus colchicus (ring-necked pheasant). Its description in RNAcentral is "lncRNA (ENSPCLG00000010475.1)". The record is from RNAcentral. Lineage: Eukaryota; Metazoa; Chordata; Aves; Galliformes; Phasianidae.